This 320-nucleotide ribosomal RNA is filed under the name uncultured eukaryote. RNAcentral describes it as "partial 18S ribosomal RNA". It matches the Rfam family "Eukaryotic small subunit ribosomal RNA", at positions 1470 to 1796 of the family's 1831-position model. The record is from RNAcentral.
CCCCUAGAUGUUCUGGGCCGCACGCGCGCUACACUGAACAGUUCAACAAGUCUUAACCUUGGCCGAUAGGUCUGGGUAAUCUUUGAACGCUGUUCGUGAUUGGGAUAGACCUUUGCAAUUAUGGGUCUUCAACGGGGAAUUCCUAGUAAACGCAAGUCAUCAGCUUGCAUUGAUUACGUCCCUGCCCUUUGUACACACCGCCCGUCGCACCUACCGAUUGAAUGGUCCGGUGAAAUCUCGGGACGGCGGCUUGGUCGCUUGCGUCCGACUGCUGAAACUUGAUUAAACCAUAUCAUUUAGAGGAAGGUGAAGUCGUANCA